CCCUCCGUCCCUCCCCUCCCGCCCCGCUAUCUGUCUUUAUUCCCACUCCGGGGCACCGCCGGGGAGGAGCUGCCGGCGCUCCGGCGGCGGCGCCGCGCCCCCACAGGCUUCCCGCCCGCCGCGGGGGUGCGGGGACGGGGGGGGCGCCGGCCGGACCCCUCCUUCCCUCCGGGGCUUCCUCUUCCCUUUCCCCUUCCCGGUGAGGACCGUGCUCGCCCUGGGCUCCGUGCGGGGCUCCCCCGCCGCGCUGCCUCUCUCCUUCCCUCCCCCGGGUCCGUGAGGGAGCGCCCUCGCCGCAGCACCUCUGUCAGGGGCAGCGUUACAGCGGCCGCUCGGCGGAGGCAGGGUUUCCCAAAAAAGGCCGGCGAGCCGUGCCCUGCUCCCUCGGAAAGCCAUCGAGGUAGCCCCGGGACGCGCGGGAGUUAAAGCGAGUAGGCCUUUUAAGGAGUCUGGUAGCACAAAAGGGGAUGAUGGAUGGUCCUGCCUUUAGGAAGGAGCCCGAGUGGAUUCUGGGAGGAGAAGGGGAGGCGUUAAAUGAAGUUCCCCAACUAUUCUGGUUUUGAUCAUAUAUUUAGAAGUGAGACUCAUUUGAUACAAGUGGGAUGGAAAGUCACCAAGCCGAGCUGUCAGAGUCCUGGAGAGUAAAACCUUCUUCUGCUAUGCAUCAUAGGCAAGGGCAGGCCAUGGUGUGGGCUGAGAUGGGAAGGAAAUCCUCCGCUCAACUACUGACCUGACUUGAAAACUGUGUGAUACUGCUGAGUGACAGGCUGGCUGAGUUGCUUCACUCUUCAUUUCCUGGAGACGAUU
Molecule: long non-coding RNA, 807 nt
Organism: Cygnus olor (mute swan)
Lineage: Eukaryota; Metazoa; Chordata; Aves; Anseriformes; Anatidae
Exons: 4
Source: RefSeq, a predicted model, not a curated record